RNAcentral lists this ribosomal RNA (497 nucleotides) under uncultured bacterium. Its description in RNAcentral is "partial 16S ribosomal RNA". It matches the Rfam family "Bacterial small subunit ribosomal RNA", at positions 28 to 507 of the family's 1533-position model. The record is from RNAcentral.
GAUGAACGCUGGCGGCGUGCCUAAUACAUGCAAGUCGAGCGAACAGACGAGGAGCUUGCUCCUCUGAUGUUAGCGGCGGACGGGUGAGUAACACGUGGAUAACCUACCUAUAAGACUGGGAUAACUUCGGGAAACCGGAGCUAAUACCGGAUAACAUGUUGAACCGCAUGGUUCAACAGUGAAAGACGGUCUUGCUGUCACUUAUAGAUGGAUCCGCGCCGCAUUAGCUAGUUGGUAAGGUAACGGCUUACCAAGGCAACGAUGCGUAGCCGACCUGAGAGGGUGAUCGGCCACACUGGAACUGAGACACGGUCCAGACUCCUACGGGAGGCAGCAGUAGGGAAUCUUCCGCAAUGGGCGAAAGCCUGACGGAGCAACGCCGCGUGAGUGAAGAAGGUCUUCGGAUCGUAAAACUCUGUUAUUAGGGAAGAACAAAUGUGUAAGUAACUAUGCACGUCUUGACGGUACCUAAUCAGAAAGCCACGGCUAACUACGCG